This 4832-nucleotide long non-coding RNA is filed under the name Homo sapiens (human). RNAcentral's name for it is "HSALNT0298754". The record is from RNAcentral. Lineage: Eukaryota; Metazoa; Chordata; Mammalia; Primates; Hominidae.
UGUAGUCUACACUGCUGUAGUAUAGGCUCACGCACUGGGGAAUCUGACCGUGUCGUCAGCAGCCCGGAGGGUGCUUGGCGGUGCAGAGAUCCUCAGAGAUCAUCCUCCAGGUACACAGCCAGAGCAGUCUCUGUCCUGCUCUUGCACCUUUCCUUUCUCUAUAGCAUUGCUGAUGUGACCAGGAGGCAUUGCCUUCAGCCUUCCUACAGAACAGAUAGCGCACUGAGUACUUUCCUUCUAGAUGAGACUUUUCUCAGUUGGCCUGAUAGGACCUUAUUAUCAGCAUACUAGAAAGCCAGGGCUGCUUCCUUAUGAGAGGUAGUGGGGGUGAGGGGAGGCCAGAGGGCCAUGGAGAGUUCAAGGAACCUGGGGAAAACUUAAGGCAUUGUUCCUGCCUGCCACCUCUUCCCUGUGUCCUUCAUAGCAGUUGGUAGAGUUUCCAGGUGAGACUGGCUUUCUAGUUCUUUCUUGCACUGCCCAGCUCAGCCCUCUUAAUUUUAAGCAAAUAGGUGCAACAGGUUGGAGAGGGUACCAGCCUGAGAUAUGACCAGGGUAGCAGAGCUAGUCUUGUCUGGAGACUAUCAGCAGAUCUGUGACUAUGCAGUCAGCAGGACAGGAUGAGAAGCCAGUCCAGAGCUGAGCUCUAGCCCAGUGGCCUGGAGCAGGGAGGGCUGCCCCAUCUGGGAUGCUGCUUUCCAUAACCUCCUGCAGAUCAUGCCUGUCCUCUUCCUAGUCUGACCUCUGCCAAUAGUUACCUAACUUUGAGGUUGGCAACCUGGGAAAAAGAGUCUUCCAUUUUUCUCCAGCCUCUGAUGACUUAGCAACGCCUCAUUCAUAUAUAAAUGAACAAUUCCUGUCACCUUGGCCUCUGUCUUUUCCAGAGAUGGUUUAGUUGGUUUAGUCUGGGGAGAGGCAAAAUGAAACGUGAAGGCACACACUUUCCAGUCUUACGAUUCUGAAAGGUUGGUCCUCCUCUAAUUGGCCCAGUGCCUCCAUACUCUGAUUUAAGAGAGGUUUCUCAUCCCCCUAGCAGUCAGCAUCCCUAGCCCUGCCCUUCUGGCCUCUAAGGUCAGCUCUGCUCAGUCCAGAAAUGAGCUGUCGUAGCUGCUUUAGGGAUCUUAAGGAGUCUGUGACCUUUCUCAUCUUUCACAUGAACAGAAAUUUCCUGAAUAUCCACUCUGUGCCAGGCAGUAGGCUAGGUGCUGUGGAAACAAAAGAUAAAUCAAACAGAGCUUCUGCCCUGAAGGUGCUGUCCAAUUUGGGUGAUUCCCCUUGGCCCCUUGACAGUUACACUGGUGACAUUUAGGGGACAGAAAACAAGAUUUGAACCGGUUGGGCAGACAGAUUCAAAGCUGUCCUUCAGUCUACAGUGCUGUUCUGCCCCGGGGGGAGUGUCCUUCCAUCUGUCUGGAGAGUGCAGUGCAUAGGACUCUGCCUCUGAGUUGAGUGGCUCCCAGCCUGUGGGCAGCCAGUUGUGGCUGUGACCGGGCUGCCCCCAGGGGGUUUGGCUCCUCUUGGGGACCCCUUAUCACCCAGAUGUGAGGGCACAUCUGCCAGGGCAGGCCACAGAACUGUGGUGUUCCUAGGGCAGCUCUUAUGUGGAGAGUUCUGGGUUGGUGCAGAGGACCCUAGAGAAUUGUCUAUUUCACUAAUGCCACCUGGGGCAGGUCCCCACUGUCUUCACCACUAAUCGCCUCCCUUCUCUAGCUCCCAUAGUUGUGGUGAGGAAAAGUGGCUUCAGUGCUCAGCAGAGUGCUUGGGACUGCAUCAAGCCCAGUUCGCCUAUCAGAAAUGAGAUUGAAACUGCAGUCCUGCUCCUGAGAAAGCAGAGCUGGGUGCUGUCUGCUCACCGAAGUUGACCAGAAGUGGCUCUUGUAAUGUGCUACCUUCAAGGGCUUCUGGACCACCCUGGAGGACAGAGCACCCAAGCCACGGCUCACAUGCCUGCCUUGCUCCCUGAGCAGCCGAACCUUAUUACCAUCACACUUGAAGCAGCUCAUCAGGGAUUUGUUUGAGGCAAAAGUUCCCAGGCCCAGGAAAAAGCUGAAAGCUGUGGACUUAGGAGCCAGAUGUUGAGAUUUUGUUGUCUGCUGAUUGUUGGCUCUUGUCAGGAAAGGAGGAGGAGGAGAAAUGAGAGUAUAUUCACAGUUGCAUGGGGGAGUUUUUUACCCUUUUCUUUUUUUAAAGAAGUUGGUAUGUUCUUCAAACCUGAGUAUUUAUAUUUUGAGCACUAACAAUUCUACAUUUGAAGAAUAAAUCCCCUGCGUGACAUGCUACCUUCAGCUCUCAUUCUUGGGACUAAGCUGAGUGGUGAUUUGGGGGUGGCUUUCCCUUUUAGUGGCCGGCUCAGAAAUAGCCAGCACACUUAUUACACAGACUGCCAGGCUCUCUGGAGGAAGACAGAGGCUUUGGAGCCCAAGUUUAGCGUCAGCUGUUCUGUGGCAGUGUAGGGUGAGAAUUGGACCUGGUGGUUUAUGUUAAGAAGUCCAGGGCUGCAGAAUGGGAAUGCUUUCUUUAGAAGUUUACCCCCUUAAAAAUAAUUUCCACUUUCCUAUCUAUUUAAAGGGGCUUUUGAACUUGUGUUUAUGAAAUGUCUUCCCGCCAUUUCAUGUGACUUGGGACACAGCAGCUGGGAUGAUCUUCCUUUUACCCAAAUGGAAAGUUGGGUUGGGCUAGGGCCUAUGGAAAAGCUGGAGAAGUUUAGAAGCCAGGCAAGCAGGAUUAUAAAAAACAAGAACCAGGGGAAAAAAAAAACCCACAUGAUUUUGAGAGGCAGCCUAGUGUAAUGGAAAGAGUGUAAGCUUUAGAGUCAGAUGACUUAGAGUUGAAUCCUAGCUCUGCUCCUUGGACAUAUUGCUGAAUUUCUUCCAUUUCCUCAUGUAUAAAACUUGAAAGUUACAGGGUUUUGAAGGCUCUUGCAUGUAGUAGGCCCUUGAUAAAUACUGAUUCCCUCCCAGGCGUUUUAUCUUUGUUUUUUCUGGGGCUCUUAACUUUUCCUCACUGGACCUUUGUAGGCACCCAUUUGGGGUUCAGCAGGUACCUGGGAGCCCAGAGGAAAAAGAGUGCUACAGACUCCAGGUGGGCCCUGGGUGACCACUGAAUCCACCUUCAUGAUCAGGGCCCACGCAACACAGAGCUGCUUCCAGAGCUCUGGGGGAUUUGCUAUUAGCUUGGGGUAGUUUAAAAUUGAAUCCAUCACAAUGACAUGAUGGGGAGACAUAAACAGAACAUUUGGGAGCAGAGCACAGCUGCUAAGGUGGCAUGAUAGACUGCUUGGCAUUACAGCAUUGUUAUUUAUUAGGGAAAGUUGAAAUGGGUCAGAGAAUGAAGUUUUCCUAAAGACCUCAGUCUUAGGACUAGCAGUCUCUUUUCAUUGUUCCUCCAUAAAAAUGUUUUGCUCUGCUCUAUAUUGGGCCAAAUGCACCAGCCAAAAUACUGUUUUGCAAAUUUCAGGGGAGGGGAUGCGGCUGCUCAUUGUGGGCCCUCCCCUUCCUGCUGUUGACUCAGGCCAGUCUAAGGCGUUCUGUGCUGCAUUUGGGGGAUUUUCUGGGGCCGAUUUUAGAAUGCUUGCUUACUGUGCAUGCAGAGUCCCCCCAGCCAGGCCCCACCCCAGCACGGCUCCUGCCUCUGUCAUCUGAAGCCUCAUGGGCUGAGGCUGGGAAGAGAAUAGAAGACACUGGUCAUAUGCAUGUGCCCAGAGUUUGUUUGAGGAAGAGAUUAUACAUCCAUAUUUCCAAAGAGAAAAAACAGAGGUUUUUUUUUUUUUAAAUGUGGCAAAGUGUACAUAACAUAAAAUUCACCAUUUUAACCAUUUUAAGUGCACAGUUUAGUGGCAUUACAUCCAUUCACACUGUCACGCAGCCAUCACCACCAUCCAUCUCUAGAACUUUUUCAUUUUCUCAAACUGAAACUACCCAUUAAAUAAUCCCUCUCCCCUCUCUCCUAGGCCCCUACAACCAUUAAUCUACUUUUCUGUCUUUGUGAAUUUGCCUAUUUUCGGUACUUGGGAUAAGUGGAGUCAUACAGCGUUUGUCCUUUUGUGUCUGGCUUAUUUCAUGGAGCAUAAUGUGCUCAAGGGUCAUCCCUGUUGUAGCAUGUGUCAGAAUUUCCUUCCCUUUUAAGGCUGAAUGAUAAUCCAUUGUGUGUCUAUAUCACAUUUUGUUUAUCCAGUCAUCUGCCGAUGGCACUUGGCUUGCUUCCACCUUUUGGCUAUUGCAGGAAACUAGUUUUGACGUGUUGAGAUGCAGGCCUGAUUUCCCUGCCUGCUUGUGAGGUAGGUGGACACGUUGAAUUGACGGUCCUGUGUGUGAGUGAAGUGUGUGCGACUGUGUCUGAGUGUCUGUCCUUCUCAGUUGACGUAAAUACUAGGGUUAUGAAAAGUCCUGUUUUAUAUCUGAAGAAACUCUCCCUGCCCACUGGCUUGUCAGAGCCUCUUGAUGAAAGGGUAAACAGGAGGUGAGUGCUUGACGUAGGAGGAGUGAGUUAUCCUGCCUCAGCCUCCUGUCCUGGAGAGUGUGUUUACUGCAGGCUGCUGUGGGGAUGAGAGGACCAGUUUGGGAGCCUGACAGCCCCAGAUCAGGACCAGUCUCAGAAUUUCUUUGUUGUGUGACUUUGGCUAGGUCACUUUAACUUUUCUGAGCCUGGUUGUCUACAUCUAAGAGGAUUUUGGGAUCCAUAUUAAAUGUAACAUGUCAAAAGCUGUUGCCCGGUGCCUGGCUGAUGGUAUGUAUUCAAAACACCUUCUCUUCCUUAAAGAAACGCUUAUACACUGUUGGUGUGAGUGUAAAUUAGUUCAACCACUAUGGAAGACUGUGGCGAUUCCUCAAAGACCU